This 406-nucleotide ribosomal RNA is filed under the name uncultured bacterium. RNAcentral describes it as "partial 16S ribosomal RNA". It matches the Rfam family "Bacterial small subunit ribosomal RNA", at positions 30 to 526 of the family's 1533-position model. The record is from RNAcentral.
AUUGAACGCUGGCGGGAGGCUUAACACAUGCAAGUCGAACGAGUGGCGGACGGGUGAGUAAUGUCUGGGAAACUGCCUGAUGGCGGGGGAUAACUACUGGAAACGGUAGCUAAUACCGCAUACCAUCAGAUGGGCCCAUAUGGGAUUAGCUUGUUGGUGGGGUAAAGGCUCACCAAGGCGACGAUCCCUAGCUGGUCUGAGAGGAUGACCAGCCACACUGGGACUGAGACACGGCCCAGACUCCUACGGGAGGCAGCAGUGGGGAAUAUUGGACAAUGGGCGCAAGCCUGAUGCAGCCAUGCCGCGUGUAUGAUGAAGGCCUUCGGGUUGUAAAGUACUUUCAGCAGGGAGGCGUUAUCUGCAGAAGAAGCACCGGCUAACUACGUGCCAGCAGCCGCGGUAAUUC